Molecule: long non-coding RNA, 746 nt
Filed under: Capsicum annuum
Lineage: Eukaryota; Viridiplantae; Streptophyta; Magnoliopsida; Solanales; Solanaceae
Description: long non-coding RNA (CANN_LNC021409)
Source: RNAcentral
UGGUGUUUAGAGUAUUACCUUUUUUCUUAUGUGAGCAGCUAACUUUAUUGUGUUCUGUAUAUGUGUACUGUUCCUCAUCUGGUUUUAUGUUUCGCCGCCUUCCUCUCCCUCUCCCUCUCCCUCUCCUUCCUGCUUCCUUUCCGCUUCUUUUUGAUCAAUGUCAUGGGCUUAUUGAGGAGAAGAUGGACGGCGGAGGACACUUAUUUUGUUCUUGGUUUAAUCAUCAAUGGGAUAUUCACAACACAACCUGAAGAGUAGGACAGCUGUAAAAUAGAUUUAAACAAUGAUGUCAUUAUUAAGAACACUGUUGCAUUUACUGCAUGAAUGUUUAAAUGGGAGAAUGAGUUUACUUAUUUGAGAUGAGCAGGAUUGAAAGGAUUUGAGAACACUAUCAUCUAUAGACUUAAUGGUAUGAUUUGUUUUAACCAAUUUCAUUAUCAAUAAUUUUCAUCUUCUCAUCAGGACCAAAAAAGCUGGAGAAAUACAGACUUACCCCUGAUUCAAAUCUGGUUUUACUUUCCUGUUGGGUAGAAAUCUGUCAACUUUCUUUUUUUGUCUUCAAAGAAAUUCACAGCAGGUCAUGUCAGCGAAUGCCUGAAUGGUACAUAAACUUGCAUGUGCCGUAGAAAUACAAACAAAAUACUGUAGUGCCGGCCACUGCACAAUCCUUCCUGCUUUAAUUUGUGAAUUGCCACUUCAUUGCUGAAAUAGUUGAUCCGAUUUUCAUUCUCUUACCAAAAAUGCAG